GACGAACGCUGGCGGCGUGCCUAACACAUGCAAGUCGAACGGAGUAAUGAUUUCGGUUAUUACUUAGUGGCGAACGGGUGAGUAACGCGUGAGAAACCUGCCUUUCAGUGGGGGACAACAGUUGGAAACGACUGCUAAUACCGCAUAAUGUUAUUUGGGGGCAUCCCUGAAUAACCAAAGAUUUAUUGCUGAAAGAUGGUCUCGCGUCUGAUUAGCCAGUUGGCGGGGUAACGGCCCACCAAAGCGACGAUCGGUAGCCGGACUGAGAGGUUGAACGGCCACAUUGGGACUGAGACACGGCCCAG
RNAcentral lists this ribosomal RNA (305 nucleotides) under uncultured bacterium. Its description in RNAcentral is "bacterial SSU rRNA". It matches the Rfam family "Bacterial small subunit ribosomal RNA", at positions 28 to 334 of the family's 1533-position model. The record is from RNAcentral.